RNAcentral lists this unclassified non-coding RNA (242 nucleotides) under Hevea brasiliensis (rubber tree). Lineage: Eukaryota; Viridiplantae; Streptophyta; Magnoliopsida; Malpighiales; Euphorbiaceae. The record is from RNAcentral.
CAUAGCUUCAAUUGGCUUCAAAGAGAAGGGGGAGUCACCAUAGAAAAGACCAAUCGACCAUGAACCCUCAUUGUCCUCCUGACACCCGACCGAGUUCAACCCAACAACCGAACCAGCACUCACAUAAGACUUAUUAAACAUAAGCCAACCAAACAGCAUGCCAAUCGAUCCAUACAAAACCAAGCAGCAUAAGAAGAACAUCAAACCGGACGAGAAAAAUCUGUGGUGAAGAAAGUGCUGUU